ACGGGUGAGUAAUGUCUGGGGAUCUGCCCGAUAGAGGGGGAUAACCACUGGAAACGGUGGCUAAUACCGCAUAACGUCGCAAGACCAAAGAGGGGGACCUUCGGGCCUCUCACUAUCGGAUGAACCCAGAUGGGAUUAGCUAGUAGGCGGGGUAACGGCCCACCUAGGCGACGAUCCCUAGCUGGUCUGAGAGGAUGACCAGCCACACUGGAACUGAGACACGGUCCAGACUCCUACGGGAGGCAGCAGUGGGGAAUAUUGCACAAUGGGCGCAAGCCUGAUGCAGCCAUGCCGCGUGUAUGAAGAAGGCCUUCGGGUUGUAAAGUACUUUCAGCGGGGAGGAAGGCGAUGUGGUUAAUAACCGCGUCGAUUGACGUUACCCGCAGAAGAAGCACCGGCUAACUCCGUGCCAGCAGCCGCGGUAAUACGGAGGGUGCAAGCGUUAAUCGGAAUUACUGGGCGUAAAGCGCACGCAGGCGGUCUGUUAAGUCAGAUGUGAAAUCCCCGGGCUUAACCUGGGAACUGCAUUUGAAACUGGCAGGCUUGAGUCUCGUAGAGGGGGGUAGAAUUCCAGGUGUAGCG
This 582-nucleotide ribosomal RNA is filed under the name uncultured bacterium. RNAcentral's name for it is "bacterial SSU rRNA". It matches the Rfam family "Bacterial small subunit ribosomal RNA", at positions 102 to 680 of the family's 1533-position model. The record is from RNAcentral.